CUCAAACACACAUUUCUCAACCAACCUUUAAAAAAGAUCUGAAGCGACAUACUAAGACACGCAACACGACAACGUACUGAGACGAGGGUGUUAACCGAGCCCCAGAUGGCUGCUCUGUGGCACAGUGUGGUGAAGGUGGCAGAGCUGCAGCCUGAGCUGCUACUAAAAUCCAUCUGGGCUGCUUGGAAAAGCAGCGCUGCGUGAUUCUAUUCAGUGGUCCUCGACAACAUUAAGACUGGAGAUGAUCAGAUGAAGAAGCCCCUCCUCCUGCUGCUCUCUGUGAUGUCGACGUCUCUGACGGGCAGUCGGUGUCUCCCUUGGAGAGGAUGGAUGCGGGGUUAACUCACCGCCCUCUGAACUUUGAUCCUCUACAGGGGGAACAUUGAAGAGGUGC
Molecule: long non-coding RNA, 394 nt
Organism: Eleginops maclovinus (Patagonian blennie)
Lineage: Eukaryota; Metazoa; Chordata; Actinopteri; Perciformes; Eleginopidae
Exons: 3
Source: RefSeq, a predicted model, not a curated record